AGCGAACGCUGGCGGCAUGCCUAACACGUGCAAGUCGAACGCACCGCAAGGUGAGUGGCGCACGGGUGAGUAACGCGUGGGAACCUGCCCUGGAGUGGGGGAUAACCCGGCGAAAGCCGGGCUAAUACCGCAUACGUCCUGAGGGAGAAAGAUUUAUCGCUCUAGGAGGGGCCCGCGUCGGAUUAGCUAGUUGGUGAGGU
Molecule: ribosomal RNA, 200 nt
Filed under: uncultured bacterium
Lineage: Bacteria
Description: partial 16S ribosomal RNA
Rfam family: Bacterial small subunit ribosomal RNA
Source: RNAcentral